UACAGAGGGGGCAAGCGUUGUUCGGAAUUACUGGGCGUAAAGGGCGCGUAGGCGGCCUGUUAAGUCGAACGUGAAAUCCCCGGGCUCAACCCGGGAACUGCGUCCGAUACUGGCAGGCUUGAAUCCGGGAGAGGGAUGCGGAAUUCCAGGUGUAGCGGUGAAAUGCGUAGAUAUCGGGAGGAACACCUGAGGCGAAGGCGGGCUACUGGGCCGAUACUGACGCUGAUGCGCGAAAGCCAGGGGGCGAACGGG
RNAcentral lists this ribosomal RNA (252 nucleotides) under uncultured bacterium. RNAcentral's name for it is "partial 16S ribosomal RNA". It matches the Rfam family "Bacterial small subunit ribosomal RNA", at positions 524 to 776 of the family's 1533-position model. The record is from RNAcentral.